CAGCAGCCGCGGUAAUACGGAGGGAGAUAGCGUUGUUCGGAAUUACUGGGCGUAAAGCGCACGUAGGCGGUUUAUCAAGUCAGAGGUGAAAGCCCGGGGCUCAACCCCGGAACUGCCUUUGAAACUAGUAGACUUGAAUCUUGGAGAGGUCAGUGGAAUUCCGAGUGUAGAGGUGAAAUUCGUAGAUAUUCGGAAGAACACCAGUGGCGAAGGCGACUGACUGGACAAGUAUUGACGCUGAGGUGCGAAAGCGUGGGGAGCAAACAGGAUUAGAUACCCCUGUAGUCCCUGUCUCUUAUAC
Molecule: ribosomal RNA, 301 nt
Filed under: uncultured bacterium
Lineage: Bacteria
Description: partial 16S ribosomal RNA
Rfam family: Bacterial small subunit ribosomal RNA
Source: RNAcentral